This 464-nucleotide long non-coding RNA is filed under the name Bos taurus (domestic cattle). RNAcentral describes it as "long non-coding RNA NONBTAT023993". The record is from RNAcentral. Lineage: Eukaryota; Metazoa; Chordata; Mammalia; Artiodactyla; Bovidae.
AGUUAAAAUUUUAGUUCUUCAAAAUCAACUCUAACAAAAUCUAUGGCCACAUUCAGAAGCUGCAGAAAGCGGUGAACACUUUCUAUCUCCAAAAGAGUUGCCAAGACAUCUUUUUCCCCGUUUCCUCAGACUAGGAGCAAAAGGCUAGACAACUAAUCUACAGUCGGAGCUUUCCUUUUGGUAAAUUUGUCUUUCUCCUCUAAGCUCAGUUUUACUCCUGGCCUGUUUUCUUGAUUAUAGUUAAGAAUCUUGGGGCAUUCAAGUCCUCACCUAAAGAAAGGCUAAUGAGGGAAGGAGCAAAGAUGUACUUUCUUGCUAUAGGUAUUUGUGUGCUGUGUGAAAUGUCUCAGUUAAUUUUUUAAAAAAGGAAACACUCUAGCUUGUUUAAUGGAUCCUCAAAAUUGAAGGAGCCUUUUUCUUCUCAGUUAACUGACCCAUAAGGAAAACUAGAGAAUUUUUAGUGA